CCUACGGGAGGCAGCAGUGAGGAAUAUUGGUCAAUGGACGCAAGUCUGAACCAGCCAUGCCGCGUGCAGGAAGACGGCUCUAUGAUUUGUAAACUGCUUUUGUACGAGGGUAAACGGAGAUACGUGUAUCUGUGUGAAAGUAUCGUACGAAUAAGGGACGGCUAACUCCGGUCCAGCAGCCGCGGUAAUACGGAGGGUUCAAGCGUUAUCUGGAUUGAUUGGGUUUAAAGGGUGCGUAGGCGGUCGGAUAAGUUAGAGGUGAAAUCACGAGGCUCAACUUCGGAAUUGCCUCUGAUACUGUGCGGCUAGAGAGUAGUUGCGGUAGUCGGAAUGCAUGGUGUAGCGGUGAAAGGCUCAGAGAUC
RNAcentral lists this ribosomal RNA (363 nucleotides) under uncultured bacterium. Its description in RNAcentral is "partial 16S ribosomal RNA". It matches the Rfam family "Bacterial small subunit ribosomal RNA", at positions 338 to 698 of the family's 1533-position model. The record is from RNAcentral.